RNAcentral lists this ribosomal RNA (833 nucleotides) under Candacia pachydactyla. RNAcentral's name for it is "partial large subunit ribosomal RNA". It matches the Rfam family "Eukaryotic large subunit ribosomal RNA", at positions 113 to 828 of the family's 3401-position model. The record is from RNAcentral. Lineage: Eukaryota; Metazoa; Arthropoda; Copepoda; Calanoida; Candaciidae.
GCUGAACUGCUGGCCAUACAGGUCAUGCGGAAUGUAGCGUUUAGAAGGGUCUCUUCCAAAGCAUUAGACACCAGUCAAAGUCCAACUUGACAGUGGCCACAGCCCAUAGAGGGUGAUAGGCCCGUAAGGCGGUCGUCUGGCUUUGCUGACCUCUUCUCAGAGUCGGGUAGCUUGUGAGUGCUGCCCAAAGUGCGAGGUAAACUCCUCGUAAGGCUAAAUACAACCCCAAUACCGAUAGCAAACAAGUACAGUGAUGGAAAUUUGAAAAGAACUUUGAAGAGAGAGUUAAGAGUACGUGAAACUGUAUGGUAGUAAACGCAGCCUUCCUCGAAGUUUCCUCGUGUGGAUCCAGCCUAAGAGCGGCGGGUGCCCCGGUCUGUGCUGAGCAGCAAUGCCAGNNGGNNUGGGUGGUCUGCCUGUCGUGUCGCGGGUGCAUCUUCACACGUUGUUACUGUAGGAACCGUUGGCGCCUGCUCCAAAGGCCUGGGAUGAAGUUUCAACUGUCUGUAGUGGGCGGUCGAAGCUCCCGGUGUCCUGGCGGCGGGCCCGACGGGCAUUAUGGCCGACUUGUAUAGCAAGCAACCGCUGCUGUUGCGGUUGGCCAUUCCCUACAGAGUAGGUCGGCGGAGGCUGCGACCCGUCUUGAAACACGGACCAAGGAGUCUAACAUGUGUGCGAGUUUUUGGGUUGUCUAAACCCGGAAGCGCAGUGAAAGCAAAGGGCUGCCCGUCAGCCUUAGGGGAGAUCCUUAACCGGCGCAUCCCCGCCAUUUCCAAUCAGCCUCGUCUGUUGGGAAUAGGAAGAGCAUACAUGUUGGGACCCGAAAGAUGGUG